This 253-nucleotide ribosomal RNA is filed under the name uncultured bacterium. RNAcentral describes it as "partial 16S ribosomal RNA". It matches the Rfam family "Bacterial small subunit ribosomal RNA", at positions 524 to 776 of the family's 1533-position model. The record is from RNAcentral.
UACGAGUGCCCCGAGCGUUAUCCGGAAUCAUUGGGCGUAAAGGAUGUGUAGGCGGUCUUGUUAGUCUUUUGUUAAGGCUCCCGGCUUAACCGGGAAAAUGCAAAGGAAACGGCAAGACUUGAGGGUGCGAGGUGUCUAUGGAACUCAUGGUGUAGGGGUGAAAUCUGUUGAUAUCAUGGGGAACACCAAAAGCGAAGGCAAUAGACUGGAGCAUUCCUGACGCUGAAACAUGAAAGCGUGGGUAGCGAAUGGG